AGGCGUGUAGCUCAGUGGCAGAGCAUCACUUUGACGUAGUGAUGGUCGGUGGUUCGAUUCCACUCAUGCCUA
This 72-nucleotide transfer RNA is filed under the name Candidatus Riesia sp. RNAcentral describes it as "tRNA-Val". It matches the Rfam family "tRNA". From Rfam's summary of the family: Transfer RNA (tRNA) molecules are approximately 80 nucleotides in length. The record is from RNAcentral. Lineage: Bacteria; Pseudomonadati; Pseudomonadota; Gammaproteobacteria; Enterobacterales; Enterobacteriaceae.